UACGUAGGGUGCAAGCGUUGUCCGGAAUUAUUGGGCGUAAAGAGCUCGUAGGCGGCUAGUCGCGUCGGCUGUGAAAACCUGGGGCUCAACCCCGGGCCUGCAGACGAUACGGGCUAGCUAGAAUUCGGUAGGGGAGACUGGAAUUCCUGGUGUAGCGGUGAAAUGCGCAGAUAUCAGGAGGAACACCGAUGGCGAAGGCAGGUCUCUGGGCCACUACUGACGCUGAGAAGCGAAAGCGUGGGGAGCGAACAGG
RNAcentral lists this ribosomal RNA (253 nucleotides) under uncultured bacterium. RNAcentral describes it as "partial 16S ribosomal RNA". It matches the Rfam family "Bacterial small subunit ribosomal RNA", at positions 524 to 776 of the family's 1533-position model. The record is from RNAcentral.